RNAcentral lists this ribosomal RNA (433 nucleotides) under uncultured organism. RNAcentral describes it as "bacterial SSU rRNA". It matches the Rfam family "Bacterial small subunit ribosomal RNA", at positions 29 to 507 of the family's 1533-position model. The record is from RNAcentral.
AACGAACGCUGGCGGCAGGCUUAACACAUGCAAGUCGAACGCCCCGGUAACGGGGAGUGGCAGACGGGUGAGUAACACGUGGGAACAUACCCUUUGGUGCGGAACAACAGCUGGAAACGGCUGCUAAUACCGCAUGCGCCCUACGGGGGAAAGAUUUAUCGCCGAAGGAUUGGCCCGCGUCUGAUUAGCUAGUUGGUGAGGUAAUGGCUCACCAAGGCGACGAUCAGUAGCUGGUCUGAGAGGAUGAUCAGCCACACUGGGACUGAGACACGGCCCAGACUCCUACGGGAGGCAGCAGUGGGGAAUAUUGGACAAUGGGCGCAAGCCUGAUCCAGCCAUGCCGCGUGAGUGAUGAAGGCCCUAGGGUUGUAAAGCUCUUUCAGCGAGGAGGAUAAUGACGUUACUCGCAGAAGAAGCCCCGGCUAACUUCGUG